Saimiri boliviensis boliviensis (Bolivian squirrel monkey) is the source of this 2040-nucleotide non-coding RNA. Lineage: Eukaryota; Metazoa; Chordata; Mammalia; Primates; Cebidae. The record is from RefSeq and is a predicted model, not a curated record.
ACAGGCGCCGUGCGCCGCGCCCCCUGUCAGGGGCAGCCAUUGUUCCGCAGGUCGUGCCGGUAGCGCAGGUCGCGCCGGAGCUGGGUUCCUGCACUCCUCUCCAAGUCUGGUACCUCCGUCAAGCUGGGAGACGGCUCCAGUCCCUGGUUCUGAACACUCUGGGGUUCUCGGGUGCAGGCCGCCAUGAGUAAACGGAAGGCGCCUCAGGAGACUCUCAACGCGGGAAUCACCGACAUGCUCACAGAACUCGCAAACUUUGAGAAGAACGUGAGCCAAGCUAUCCACAAGUACAAUGCUUACAGAAAAGCAGCAUCUGUUAUAGCAAAAUACCCAUAUAAAAUAAAGAGUGGAGCUGAAGCUAAGAAAUUGCCUGGAGUAGGAACAAAAAUUGCUGAAAAAAUUGAUGAGUUUUUAGCAACUGGAAAAUUACGUAAACUGGAAAAGAUUCGGCAAGAUGAUACGAGUUCAUCCAUCAAUUUCCUGACUCGAGUUAGUGGCAUUGGUCCAUCUGCUGCAAGGAAGUUUGUAGAUGAAGGAAUUAAAACACUAGAAGAUCUCAGAAAAAACGAAGACAAAUUGAACCAUCAUCAGCGAAUUGGGCUGAAAUAUUUUGGAGACUUUGAAAAAAGAAUUCCUCGUGAAGAGAUGUUACAAAUGCAAGAUAUUGUACUAAAUGAAGUUAAAAAAGUGGAUUCUGAAUACAUUGCUACGGUCUGUGGCAGUUUCAGAAGAGGUGCAGAGUCCAGUGGUGACAUGGAUGUUCUCCUGACCCAUCCAAGCUUCACUUCAGAAUCAACCAAACAGCCAAAAUUAUUACAUCAAGUUGUGGAGCAGUUACAAAAAGUUCAUUUUAUCACAGAUACCCUGUCGAAGGGUGAGACAAAGUUCAUGGGUGUUUGCCAACUUCCCAGUAAAAAUGAUGAAAAGGAAUAUCCACACAGAAGAAUUGAUAUCAGGUUGAUACCCAAAGAUCAGUAUUACUGUGGUGUUCUCUAUUUCACUGGAAGUGAUAUUUUCAAUAAGAAUAUGAGGGCUUAUGCCCUAGAAAAGGGCUUCACAAUCAAUGAGUAUACCAUCCGUCCCUUGGGAGUCACUGGAGUUGCUGGAGAACCACUGCCAGUGGAUAGUGAGAAAGACAUCUUUGAUUACAUCCAGUGGAAAUACCGAGAACCCAAGGACCGGAGCGAAUGAGGCCUGUAGCUUCCCUGGCAGACAAAGCCCAAUAGGAGUCUUAAUUUAUUUCUUAACCUUUGCUAUAAUCUCAUUGGUUUUCUGGAAAAACAGACAAAAAGCUAAUGCUAGUCUCAUUCGUCACAGGGCCAUCAUCUCAGUUCUCUAGUUUCAGGCUAUUUUGCUUGCUGCAAGAUUUGAUUUCAGGAGAAAUCAGUAUGGAGGCAUUUGAAAGUUCAUGUCCAAGACUGAGCCCGAAUGCAAUGAGGAUUCUUCUUCAUGUUGAGAUAUUUACAGCUUUUCGAUUUUUUGGCAUACUCUUAACCGUGCAUGCUGCCCAUUGCUGGCCGGUUGGCUUCGACACAGUAGUCCAGGACCACAGUCGCAACGCUGGAAGAUUUCUGGAGCUUGAGCAGUGUCUUUAUGCCCUCUCCUGGAGCAGACCUGUCCCUCCAAAAGGACUGGCUUACAGAUUUUCGUCCAAAAAUGACGAGCACAGCAAAGUCCAGGGCCACAGUCAAAAGUUCUCAGACAACUUUCUCCCUCUUGUCCUGUAACAAGGUUAAUGUGGGCUUCAGUGAUAAACGGGAAAAGUGGCCUGCCCGGGCACUGCUACUGGGAUAAGGGGAUGGGACCUACGACUGACGGCCACAAAGUGAAAAUAGACACAGCAUGCAGGUCUCACAGAGCUAGGUCUUAGGCUAAAAGGAGUAAUGCAAUGGCAAUUCCACCCCUACCCAACGGAAUUGAUUUAUUGUUACUGGCCAUUCCCUUGUUCUCUCAACCUGCAGAUUACCUUAGGCCACUCUCUAUGUGACCCCCACAGCUUCUUAUGGAAAGAGAUUACAACAGCACAUGCUGCCUAAGUGU